Molecule: long non-coding RNA, 283 nt
Filed under: Musa acuminata (dwarf banana)
Lineage: Eukaryota; Viridiplantae; Streptophyta; Magnoliopsida; Zingiberales; Musaceae
Description: long non-coding RNA (MACU_LNC007024)
Source: RNAcentral
AUCCACCAACCGAAUGACUCGAACAAAAGGGCUCAUUACCUUUAAUGUAUAAACUACAUGAUUCCAAAAGGAUGGCAUUAAGAUGAUAUCAGUAGCCCUCUUGCCUUUUGCUUCUUUUGCCCAUUUGCUUGUCACCCAUUUCUCAGAGGUAAACAUGUUUCUCAGAUUAUGUUUUUGAUGAUGCACGCUCUGUAAUGUCAAGAAUGAAGUAGCAAAUCGGGUGACACCAUAUCUCACUAAUUCUUUAUUCCCUAUAAAUUCUCUCAUCAUAUUCAAAGCCCCA